Seriola aureovittata is the source of this 2252-nucleotide long non-coding RNA. RefSeq lists it as uncharacterized. The record is from RefSeq and is a predicted model, not a curated record. Lineage: Eukaryota; Metazoa; Chordata; Actinopteri; Carangiformes; Carangidae. The transcript is spliced from 3 exons.
UGCACACUUCUCUCCACUUUUUUUCUUUCUUUUUUUGCUUUUCCCACCCCCAGACUGACUACCUGGGUGAAACUUGACAACUGAGCUGCUUCAUGACCAUGUGGGUCAAAUGCUUGGAUUUUGGAUCAUUUUAGAUGGAAGAGCAGAACAGAAAUUGAAUCACGCAGUGUGUUUAGAGGGAGCCACUCAACCCCCCACCAGUGUUUCCGUAUACCUGCGGUGUUAUCAUGAAGCCCUUCGAGCCUGCAUAAACCAGAAUCAAAGAAAUAAUGCUUUAACAGAAAGAGACCCAAUAGGGCCCAGCAGGUGAAUGUAAAGAAACGCGAGAGGACUCCCCUCCGAUCAGCCUUUCAGACCCGGACAAAGGGCCGGCCCACCUCUUGUACAGCUGCUUUAAAAACCCUGAUUAAAGCUCUUCCUGUUAGCGAUUGAUUGAGGAUGCAAAACUAAAACCAACAAAAACCCACACUGCUGAGGCCUGAUAAUGACUGGGCCCCACCUACAAAGCACAGGCUUCAAAUGAUUAGUGGGUUUUGUUUUCUUAGUAGGUGUGUGAGUGUGACUGUUUGUGUGUGACUGUUUGUGUGUGUGUGUGUGUGUGUGUGUGUGUGUGUGUGUGUGUGUGUGUGUGUGUGUGUGUGUGUGUGUGUGUGUGUGUGUGUGUGAGAGAGGUGAGGGAUACCCGGAGGUCUUCAGACUUUAGCUCUAAUUAAUCAACAGGCUCUCUUGGAAAAAAAAAAAAAUCUUUCUUUCUUUCUUUCUUUCUUUCUUUCUUUCUUUCUUUCUUUCUUUCUUUCUUUCUCUGUAUUACUAUUAGCAAUGACAGUGUGUAUAUCUGUUUACCACCUGUGCAAGUGCAUGUUGGGUGUUAUGUGUCAAUAGCUUGAUGAGUGGGCAUAAUAAAUCUUACUUUGAUCUAAUAUUUCAUAAAUACAAAUAUAUGAUUUUUAUACACAUUUAAUAUCAAACAUCAAGUCAUCUGUUGAAUUUAAAUAUUGGUUAAGUAAUUUUAUUUUAUUUUCCUUGUUUCUACCAACCUUUCGUCAGGAUUUGUGUACACUCUCAUAAUAGUGAAGAUAAAAUAGAAAAGAAUUCAAGGUCCUACAAAAAAAGAGUAUCAAAAAGCACAUUGUGAAGUGGAUUGCUGCAGUUUUCUUUCAAUUUUCAGGUAUAAACACUGAACAUUAUAUGAAGCGGUCAGUGUGUUGUACUGUACCUGUAGUCCUUCAAUCAUCAAAACCAUUACGAGUAGAAGAAGAAUAAAAAUCCUCUCCCGUGUGCUCGAGCUCUGUUAAGACUUGCACAUGCUUAUCAUAAUCAUGUUUUGAAGUGUGGAUUUUUAAACACUCUUGUCAUUGUUAUGUAAACAGCCUUUUUUGCAUGUUAAUCCCUUUACGAGAGAACGUUAGGGAGAUGCAUGACGACAUGGGAAAUGAUUUGUGGAGAAGGCGCUGAGAAGACUUGAACAAUAUGCGUGCAUGUUUGUGUCGCCGUGUGUGUGUGUGUGUGUCUGUGUGUGUGUGUGUGUGUGUGUUUGUGUGUGUGUGUGUGUGUGUGUGUGUGUGUGUGUGUCUAGAGAGAGAGAGAGAGAGAGAGGUUCUUCAAGAAUCCAUAAAUAUUGCAUUUCUUUGUUUGACGGAUGUUUGACACAUUUUCAUGUUUCCUCAACAAAUUCCACUGUCAUAUUUUUCCUUUUGUCAGUCAUCUUCCAAACAGCAGAUCCUGACAAUUAUCCCAGAGAAACUCUGAUCAAAACCACCUUAUUCUGUCUGCUGCUCGGCUCCAUCACACACUCAUCCUGCAUCACUCUCUUCUUCCUCUCACACAAUCUUUAUUUGAUUCCAGCUCUGUAUAUUACACCACUUAUCAGUUCAAAUGCAAAAAUUACAUUUACAAAGUGUUUGUGUCAUCUAUAUUUCACACAUUUUGUAAUGUCUAUUUGUUGAUGCACAGCACAGUUAUUACAGUGUUGCUGCGGAGUGAUUGUCGUGAGGCUUCCCUCUGUACUGUAUUGUAACGAAGCAGCUAAUUCACAGUCUCAACAGAGGAGGGCAUUAUGCAUUUGGCUUAAUGUGAGUCAUUUUUAAUGAUGGGAUGGACUUGUCAGCAAAAAUAAUGCUAAUAAUGGCUUGGAGAAAUAUUAAAAAUACAUUUUCAGCUAAUUAUUGACAAGGUUUAUCUUUUGAAGAAUAGUUAGUUGGAUGUGAAUUUGAUUUGUCGAAUCAUAUUUUCUUGCAUAAUAGCAAGGAGCA